CAAACUGAAGAUGGCGACCGGCGCACGGGUGAGUAACACGUAUCCAACCUGCCGAUAACUCCGGAAUAGCCUUUCGAAAGAAAGAUAAAUACCGGAUGGCAUACGAAUAUCGCAUGAUAUUUUUAUUUAAAGAAUUUCGGUUAUCGAUGGGGAUGCGUUCCAUUAGUUUGUUGGCGGGGUAACGGCCCACCAAGACUACGAUGGAUAGGGGUUCUGAGAGGAAGGUCCCCCACAUUGGAACUGAGACACGGCCCAAACUCCUACGGGAGGCAGCAUG
This 277-nucleotide ribosomal RNA is filed under the name uncultured bacterium. RNAcentral's name for it is "partial 16S ribosomal RNA". It matches the Rfam family "Bacterial small subunit ribosomal RNA", at positions 77 to 353 of the family's 1533-position model. The record is from RNAcentral.